RNAcentral lists this ribosomal RNA (774 nucleotides) under uncultured Neocallimastigales. RNAcentral's name for it is "partial large subunit ribosomal RNA". It matches the Rfam family "Eukaryotic large subunit ribosomal RNA", at positions 26 to 643 of the family's 3401-position model. Lineage: Eukaryota; Fungi; Neocallimastigomycota; Neocallimastigomycetes; Neocallimastigales. The record is from RNAcentral.
CGCAUCUGUGCAUGCAGCAUAUCAAUAAGCGGAGGAAAAGAAACUAACAAGGAUUCCCUUAGUAACGGCGAGUGAAGCGGGAAGAGCUCUAAUUUGAAAUCUUCAAGGUUUUACCUUGACGAAUUGUAGUUUAAAGAAGUGUUUUCUGUUGAAGUUUUGGUAAAAGUUCUUUGGAAUAGGACAUCAUAGAGGGUGAGAAUCCCGUAUUUGACCAUUAUUUUCAGCUGUGUGAUACACUUUCAAAGAGUCGGAUUGUUUGGGAAUGCAGUCCAAAAUGGGUGGUAAAUUUCAUCUAAAGCUAAAUAUUGGCGAGAGACCGAUAGCGAACAAGUACCGUGAGGGAAAGAUGAAAAGAACUUUGAAAAGAGAGUUAAACAGUACGUGAAAUUGUCAAAAGGGAAGCGUUUGACACCAGUGUUGUUUUCUCGAAAAUCAAUUAAAAAGAGUUUGAUUUUGUUGUGUAUUGACCUUAACAGCUUGCAUUUCAAUUUUCUUGCUUUUUUUAAUGCACUUUUCGUUUAACAAGUCAACAUCAGUUUCUUUUGUUGUAAAAAGGUCAUUGGAAGGUGGCUUUCUUUUCGGAGAAAGUGUUUAUAGCCUUUGACUCCUGCAAUCGGAGAGACUGAGGUCUGCAGCGUAGAUCCUUCGGGGUUAGAUACAUUUGUGCUAAGUUAUAGCUUUUUAUAGACAACUUGUUGACUAUGAUUAGUCUUGUAGCUUACUCGCUUAUGCUAUUUUACCUACGCUUAGGAUGUUGACACACGCGCGUGCUCG